This 470-nucleotide ribosomal RNA is filed under the name Micromonospora sp. RNAcentral describes it as "bacterial SSU rRNA". It matches the Rfam family "Bacterial small subunit ribosomal RNA", at positions 110 to 595 of the family's 1533-position model. The record is from RNAcentral. Lineage: Bacteria; Bacillati; Actinomycetota; Actinomycetes; Micromonosporales; Micromonosporaceae.
GUAACACGUGAGCAACCUGCCCUAGGCUUUGGGAUAACCCCGGGAAACCGGGGCUAAUACCGAAUAGGACCCGCGAUCGCAUGGUUGUGGGUGGAAAGUUUUUCGGCCUGGGAUGGGCUCGCGGCCUAUCAGCUUGUUGGUGGGGUGAUGGCCUACCAAGGCGACGACGGGUAGCCGGCCUGAGAGGGCGACCGGCCACACUGGGACUGAGACACGGCCCAGACUCCUACGGGAGGCAGCAGUGGGGAAUAUUGCACAAUGGGCGGAAGCCUGAUGCAGCGACGCCGCGUGAGGGAUGACGGCCUUCGGGUUGUAAACCUCUUUCAGCAGGGACGAAGCGCAAGUGACGGUACCUGCAGAAGAAGCGCCGGCCAACUACGUGCCAGCAGCCGCGGUAAGACGUAGGGCGCGAGCGUUGUCCGGAUUUAUUGGGCGUAAAGAGCUCGUAGGCGGCUUGUCGCGUCGACUGU